RNAcentral lists this ribosomal RNA (56 nucleotides) under Psathyrella cf. gracilis BXGH09. RNAcentral describes it as "partial 28S ribosomal RNA". Lineage: Eukaryota; Fungi; Basidiomycota; Agaricomycetes; Agaricales; Psathyrellaceae. The record is from RNAcentral.
UUCUAACCGUCCGCAAGGACAAUUUACUUGACCAAUUGACCUCAAAUCAGGUAGGA